CCUACGGGAGGCAGCAGUGGGGAAUAUUGCACAAUGGGGGAAACCCUGAUGCAGCAACGCCGCGUGGGUGAAGGAGCGUUUCGGCGCGUAAAGCCCUGUCAGCGGGGAAGAAGAAAGACGGUACCCGACCAUGAAGCCCCGGCUAACUACGUGCCAGCAGCCGCGGGUAUACGUAGGGGGCGAGCGUUAUCCGGAAUUACUGGGUGUAAAGGGAGCGGAGACGGCGGGGUAAGCGUGAAGUGGAAGUCCUCGGCCCAAACGCGGAACUGCUUUGGGAACUGUUGUGCGGGAGUAUGGGAGGGGUAAGCGGAAGUCCAGGUGUAGCGGUGAAAUGCGUAGAUAUAAGGAGGAACACCAGUGGCGAAGGCGGCUUACUGGACCAUAACUGACGUUGAGGCUCGAAAGCGUGGGGAGCGAACAGGAUUAGAUACCCUAGUAGUC
This 441-nucleotide ribosomal RNA is filed under the name uncultured bacterium. RNAcentral's name for it is "partial 16S ribosomal RNA". It matches the Rfam family "Bacterial small subunit ribosomal RNA", at positions 338 to 795 of the family's 1533-position model. The record is from RNAcentral.